RNAcentral lists this long non-coding RNA (1425 nucleotides) under Zea mays. RNAcentral describes it as "long non-coding RNA (ZMAY_LNC005374)". Lineage: Eukaryota; Viridiplantae; Streptophyta; Magnoliopsida; Poales; Poaceae. The record is from RNAcentral.
UUGUUUUGUCAUGAAAUAUAGGUUAAAAUGUUGCACUUAGUCUAUUCUAUAUUUUACCACGUGGAUUUUCGGAAAACCAUAACUUCUUAACCGUAACUCCGAAUUUAGUAAUUCUUGUUCCUACGAUCUCGUAGCGACGCGUAGAUUAUUAUUGCGCAGUUUAUUCUUAUGUUUGUUGUGAUGUUAAUUCUGCCUAUACCAUGUUUGUUUGUAUUGCUACAACUAGCGUGAGGUCACGAGUUCUAAAGAGCAAGUUGGUACCUGGAAUCUCAAGUCCCAGGCAAGUUGUGCCCUUGAUCACUUCCUUUUUACCCAGUCAUGUUCUUAUUAAUCAUAAUGAUCUGCAUAGGUUAAUUUUGUUGGGACCCAAUAGGUUACCCUAGAUUUGACUAUCUUUAUACCUUGUUUCACCACUGGUUUCACUACUAAAUUUUUGGGUAGUACAUGCUAUUGCUUUAUGUGGUUUUGGGUAUAGAGAUAUUCACUACUCAUGAUUACACUUUUUAUUAUCUGUUCAUUAUUUACUGUUCAUGAUAAGAUCAUUAUGUUAAUGGGAACAUGGAGAACCACCCGGGAAAACAGUGCUACCACAAGGGUUUAAUGGAACGCCCUUGGCUGAUUAACUAGGAAAGCUAGUGGAUGACUACCUUACCCGAAAGGGGUAAGGGCAGUAGGGGAGUGGUCAGUGUAGGGAGGUCCUUGGUUGAUUUUGCUGCGAUGGCGGUCAGGUAAGGGAUUCCUGCACUAGAGAUUCCUAUAAACUGUAGCGGGUUUUCUGAAGCUAGUGGAACUUUGUAAAGGCCUCGUAGUGUUACCCUGCCUCGCCUCCUUGGUAGAGGUGUAUGGGAUUGGCCGUCUCUUGGCAGAUGGGUAACAUGACUUGUGGGUAAAGAUGUGCAACCUCUGCAGAGUGUAAAACUGGUAUACUAGCCAUGCUGACGGUCAUGAGCAGCUCGGACACUCACAUGAUUAAUUUAUGAAACUAAAUUUAAUUUGUCAUAUGCAUUGCAUCGCAGGUGAUGUUGUUACUUUUGUUCUACUACUUAAUUGGGUUGGUAUUUACUUAUACUUAGUAACUGCUAAUAAAAUUUUGACCAACUUUAAAAGCAAUGCUCAGCUCUAACCAUCCUCUUUGGUAAGCCUUACACUCCACAUGAGCUCCCACCUUUGGCGAGUUCAUGCACAUUAUUCCCCACAACUUGUUGAGCUAUGAACGUAUGUGAGCUCACUCUUGCUGUCUCAUACCCCCCACAGGUCAAGAACAGGUACCACAGGAUGAAGCGCUUGGAGGAUGCUGUGAUGAGUUCGUGAGUGGUCUAGGCCGUCGUCUCCCAGUCAACUUUGGGUUGCUGUACCGUUGUCUCCUUAUAAUGUAAUUAUUUAUUUAUUUAUUUUGUACAGAACUCCUGUUAUAUAGUAAAGAUG